Bos taurus (domestic cattle) is the source of this 1763-nucleotide long non-coding RNA. The record is from Ensembl. Lineage: Eukaryota; Metazoa; Chordata; Mammalia; Artiodactyla; Bovidae.
GGGGAGAGGCGGGUCUGCGGCCAUGUGUUUUCACUUUAAAAUUACAUUGAAGAGGAACAGAGGGGGUUAGAAACAAAAAUAAGAAAGAGAGAUAUAAGACAGGCUGUGUUUAAAGGGAAAAUGUGAGAAAACGAAGAGUCAAAACAGAAGUCCUCUUGGCUUGGCCGGAGGGGCCCGAGGCCGCUCCACCCUGAUAGCAAAGAACGACCUUCUCAGAGAGCAGAGCCAUCCCUCCAACCUGGGGAUGGACGCAGGAGCUUGCCAUGCAGAAAAGCCCACACACCAAAAGGUGGGGUGCUGGGACAGGACUUAAAAAGUCAGGAGACAUUCUGGGGUGGCCUGGAUUAAAGACAGGCCCAUCUGGGAAUCUCCCCCCGACUCCCCAGGGCAGGGAUUGGAGGCAGCCAGCCAUCCUGUCUUAAAGACCAACCUACAACUACCGCCCUGUUCCUCAACAAGUCAUGACACCGCCUUCGUCUGUAGCUGCUUGUUACGGGCUGAUUUGUGUCCACCACCCACCCCCCAGCCCAGAGUCAUAUGUUGAAGAACGAACCCCCACUAUUUGAGAAUGUAACUGUAUUUGGCCAUAAGGGUUUUUAAAGGGUCUGAGUUAAAAUGAGGCUGUUAGUGUGGGUCCUGACUCGAUGGUACUGAUGUCUUUAUAGAAAUAGACCCAGGGGUGUGUGCACACAGACGAAAGAGCACGUAAGGACACAGAAGAGAGCUAUCUGCAAGCGGAGGGGAGAGGGGUCAGGAGAAGCCAGCCCUGCUGGCACCUUGAUCUUGGACUGCCAGCCUGCAGAACUACGAGAAAAUACACCUCUGCUGUUUAAGUCGCCCAGCGUGGAGUGGAGUGUUAGAGCAUCCUCGCAAACUAAUUGAGGGAGGAAACCAUGCCCACAUCACCCAUUAAAGACGGGCUGUUUUCUUGCAGGCCCCCAAAUGGAAAGAAUCAUGUGGUUUCUCACUCUAACACCAGGGGAUCUGCUUAGUUUCUGCCCCCUUCACUGCCCAGGGCAUAUUGUAAAAGCCAUCUGGACACUGUAAUUAUUCAUGGACUUCCGGACGCGUCUAACCUCAUCUUGGAAGUGAUAUGGUGGCUCAGUAAAGAAUCUUCCUGCAGUGUAGACCUGGGUUCGAUUCCUGGGUCAGGAAGAUCCCCUGGAGAAGGGGUUGGCAACCCACUGCAGUAUUCUUGCCUGGAGAACCCCAUGUACAGAAGAGCCUGGAGGCUACAGUCCAUGGGGUCGCAAAGAGACACGACUGAGCGACUAAUACCUUCACCUUGGAACCAAUAUAAAAUCACUUCUCCUGUUUCUGUGAAUACACUGGGAGGGAGUUACUCCAGCUGUGAAUACUCAGAGGAUCUGGUGGGCAUCUUGGGAGCUGCCUACCCCUGACCUUCCCAGCCCUUCCACGGACUGGCUCGGGGAAGGGCUGUGACCUUUAUGGGUCUCCCUAGUUGUUUCUGUCUGCAUACUGACAAAUGAUGAUUGCAGGGUGAUGGCCUACUCAGGUGGUUUCCUGUGCUGUCUCAUUCAAUUGGUAUAACAGUCGCCAGAGGCAGGGAUUCUGUUUCCAUCUUCAUGACUGGGGAACCGCUAGCUAAAUAUUCAGGAGGUCUUGAACUCAGGGCAGCUCUUUCCUGAGCUGCCAUGUUUUUAAUGCGUGAAUGGAGAGUGCUGGACUCCAGAGUUCCUCCCGGCUCGUCUGUCUCCAAGAAGCCUUGGGCUCUGGGGCAGGCUUUCACCCCAAUGCUGGGG